Molecule: ribosomal RNA, 252 nt
Filed under: uncultured bacterium
Lineage: Bacteria
Description: partial 16S ribosomal RNA
Rfam family: Bacterial small subunit ribosomal RNA
Source: RNAcentral
UACGGAGGGGCUAGCGUUGUUCGGAAUUACUGGGCGUAAAGCGCGCGUAGGUGGUUCGUUAAGUUGGAUGUGAAAUCCCCGGGCUCAACCUGGGAACUGCAUUCAAAACUGACGAGCUAGAGUAUGGUAGAGGGUGGUGGAAUUUCCUGUGUAGCGGUGAAAUGCGUAGAUAUAGGAAGGAACACCAGUGGCGAAGGCGACCACCUGGACUGAUACUGACACUGAGGUGCGAAAGCGUGGGGAGCAAACAGG